RNAcentral lists this ribosomal RNA (511 nucleotides) under uncultured bacterium. RNAcentral describes it as "bacterial SSU rRNA". It matches the Rfam family "Bacterial small subunit ribosomal RNA", at positions 992 to 1503 of the family's 1533-position model. The record is from RNAcentral.
UGAUCUUUUCCCUAAUCGGAGAUUUCCUUCGGGACAGUGUGACAGGUGGUGCAUGGUGUCGUCAGCUCGUGUCGUGAGAUGUUGGGUUAAGUCCCGCAACGAGCGCAACCCUUGCCUUUAGUUGCCCAGCAUUAAGUUGGGCACUCUAGAGGGACUGCCGAGGAUAACUCGGAGGAAGGUGGGGAUGACGUCAAAUCAUCAUGCCCCUUUAUGCUUAGGGCUACACACGUGCUACAAUGGGUGGUACAGAGGGUUGCCAAGCCGCGAGGUGGAGCUAAUCCCUUAAAGCCAUUCUCAGUUCGGAUUGUAGGCUGAAACUCGCCUACAUGAAGCUGGAGUUACUAGUAAUCGCAGAUCAGAAUGCUGCGGUGAAUGCGUUCCCGGGUCUUGUACACACCGCCCGUCACACCAUGGAAGUUGGGGGCGCCCGAAGCCGGUUAGCUAACCUUUUAGGAAGCGGCCGUCGAAGGUGAAACCAAUGACUGGGGUGAAGUCGUAACAAGGUAACCUA